ACUCCUACGGGAGGCAGCAGUGGGGAAUAUUGGACAAUGGGCGCAAGCCUGAUCCAGCCAUACCGCGUGGGUGAAGAAGGCCUUCGGGUUGUAAAGCCCUUUUGUUGGGAAAGAAAUAAAUCUGGCUAAUACCCGGGUGGGAUGACGGUACCCAAAGAAUAAGCACCGGCUAACU
This 175-nucleotide ribosomal RNA is filed under the name uncultured bacterium. RNAcentral's name for it is "partial 16S ribosomal RNA". It matches the Rfam family "Bacterial small subunit ribosomal RNA", at positions 335 to 502 of the family's 1533-position model. The record is from RNAcentral.